RNAcentral lists this ribosomal RNA (253 nucleotides) under uncultured bacterium. RNAcentral describes it as "partial 16S ribosomal RNA". It matches the Rfam family "Bacterial small subunit ribosomal RNA", at positions 524 to 776 of the family's 1533-position model. The record is from RNAcentral.
UACGUAGGGGGCAAGCGUUGUCCGGAUUUAUUGGGCGUAAAGAGCGUGUAGGCGGCCAGGUAGGUCCGCUGUGAAAACUCGAGGCUCAACCUCGAGAUGUCGGCGGAAACCAUCUGGCUAGAGUCCGGAAGAGGAGAGUGGAAUUCCUGGUGUAGCGGUGAAAUGCGCAGAUAUCAGGAGGAACACCGGUGGCGAAGGCGGCGACCUGGUCCUAUACUGACACUCAUACACGAAAGCGUGGGGAUCAAACAGG